CCGGAUUGAUUGUGUUAAAAGCAGUCUUUAUUAGAUAUCGGUACAAACAAUUAAUCCCUUUCAAAAUAUUCCCUUUUUGAGGUUAUACACUUAUGCCAACGUUUCUGUCAUUGAUUUUCUAAACGAAUCUUUGGAAAUACUCCUCAGACGCGUUAUUAUAUUCGUUCAAUACAUUUGAACAUCGCACAUUGCUUACUCCGUGAGGAAUAUUCUUUUAGCAACGUAGCGCAGUUCUAUAGUUAAACAGUUACCUUAUUCAUCUGACAUGACUUCCUGCAGUUUCUGGCUCUUUCCACAAUUGAAAGUGUUACCAAAAGGGCGAAGAUUCGAUGACAUUGAGACGACAAAGGCGAAUACAAUGAAAUAUAAGAACAGCAUUCCGAAAAAUUAGAAAAUCUUCAAUGGGAGAAUUUGGCAUAAAUAUCUAACAAAGUUUGCCUUUAACAUAACCAUUUCGGAGAAAUUUUUGCGACUAAGUAUAAAUUAUACAUCGUUAGAAGUGUGCGGAAUCAUGUCUACACUUGGCUGAAACGAAUUAUAUCUCUAUUCUUCUAAUAUCCUAUCUAGCAUUUUUUCAUUUUUUCAGUUAUGUUGAAAAAUUUCCACGUGUUUACGUUUUAGGUAAAGUUAUACACGCUAAUAGGAAAUACUGAGUAGGUGUUUCAAAUUGAGUGAAGACCAAGAUGACACAAACAAAAUGAUAAAACUUUGAUUUUCUUCAGUUUCUGAUUAAAAAAAAAAACGAAUGGUAUGUGUCAGUACCUUUUGCAGCAACUGUACAAGGUGAUUCAUAAAUGUAUGUCCAUACUUCAGGGGAUGAAUCUACACAUUAAAAUAACUUUAAAAAAAACGUCGUAUGAACAUGUCCUAUCAUCUAGAAAACUGUAACGAGCCAGCGAGAAUAGAAUACUGACUACCUGAAAUUUGAUUUCAUUAAUAUUAAUUGAUAUUGCUUAGCACAUGUUGCACUCUGACUGAACGGCUUGCAAGUUGGUUACGAUAUGAACUUUGAAUUUACUCACAAGACAACUAACAAAGUCAACUUCGACGAACAUGUUAUCUGUUUUGCUUUUAUAAUAAACAACAGACUUAUUGGAUGACAAACUUGAUAUUUGUUAGAUUCCCAAUGAAUAGAUUUGAUACUUGCUAGAGUGAUAGAUGCUAAGUAUAAGAGUUAGGAUAAAAGAUGGCGGACCAAACUAUACUGUAGAUUUUAUAGAGUGACGAAUCUCAGGAAUGUUCUUCUUUUCAAGAUUCGCGAAAAUUCGAAGAAUAGGCAAUGCUGUUGGGAGUAACACGUGGAUUGGAGAAUUUGCAAGUUACUCGAACUUAGAGAGGUGGCGGAAAAGAACGAUAAUUGGUUACAGGAAAGUUCGUGAAAAUGAACUCUGUCUACUGGUCAUCCUCAGUUAGCGAUUGACUUGGGUCGACGUGCGUGACGUCCGUGCAAUCAGUUAACGGUUCACAAGUGAUGAAAUCAUAAAGCAUGUAGGUCUUGAAAACAUAUUGAUUUGUAGAAUAUAUUUUCUAUAAAUUUUUAGCCAUCUGGGCCACAGCUGCAGAAGACAAACCCAUUGGAUUUAUAAUCCUAUGUUUCCCAGAAGUAGGGAAAAGCUAUUUUUCUACAUAAUUAAAUCGAAUUUAUGAAAAAGAAGAAUAAUGCUUAUAAAACAGGUUUAAAUGUAUUUUUCCCUCAUUUUUAGUUUCUAACAAUGGAAAACUACCAAACUACUACUAACCAUCAUUGUAGGCAGAGCGUAACUCAUAAUGAGACGCAUUUAUAGGAUAACGUCAUCUUUACGAAUACAAUCAUUUUUUCAAUUUUUAUGAAAAAAAGACAAUGACGAAAAAAGAAUUUGCUAAAACAUUCUGGUUAUGAAUAACGGUUAUAAAUGAUCAAAAUAUUUGUGGUUACUGAUAAUAAUUAUAGGUGAUCAAUCAAUCAAAUUAAAAUCAUUAUAUGUGAGACUAUUUUUUUCUUUCGUUUAUCGAUAACCAAUGACCAUUAUCGAUGACAGAAAAAAAUUCUGUCACGAAAAAUGAUUAACGACAACAAGAAAAAAAUUCUUUCAUAUAUAAUGACAAUGGGCAAACAGAAAGAGUUUCUCUUACCGAUAUUAAGUAAUUAAAAAAAAAAAUUCAGUAAUUAAAAAAAAAAUUCUCUCACACACAAUGGUUAUCGAUAAAAAACAUUCUGUUCAUUUAUUUUAUACUAAUUCUUAUGCUGCAACGUUUAGUCAUUUUAGUUACAACUGUUAGAGUCUUUGAACAUUUUUUUUAGUCAUUCCAUAUCUUGGAAAUUAAAGUACGUAGGACACACGUUCACAUAACGUUUUUUACUUAUUUUAAUACGUAAAUCCAUUUCCUGAAGUAUGAACGUGCAUUUCUGAAUCACCUUGUAUAUUUAUAUGCCGAAUUGAGUCUCGAGAUCCCAUUACAAAUACGAGUUUGUAAUCCCUGGAUCCUGCACACCUCUAUAUAUAUUUUAUAUUAGCAGUCAU
Long non-coding RNA from Bombus huntii, 2501 nucleotides. RefSeq lists it as uncharacterized. Lineage: Eukaryota; Metazoa; Arthropoda; Insecta; Hymenoptera; Apidae. The transcript is spliced from 3 exons. The record is from RefSeq and is a predicted model, not a curated record.